AUUGAACGCUGGCGGCAGGCUUAACACAUGCAAGUCGAACGAUGAAACUCUAGCUUGCUAGAUAUGAUUAGUGGCGGACGGGUGAGUAACAUUUAGGAAUCUGCCUAGUAGUGGGGGAUAGCUCGGGGAAACUCGAAUUAAUACCGCAUACGACCUACGGGUGAAAGGGGGCGCAAGCUCUUGCUAUCAGAUGAGCCUAAAUCAGAUUAGCUAGUUGGUGGGGUAAAGGCCCACCAAGGCGACGAUCUGUAACUGGUCUGAGAGGAUGAUCAGUCACACCGGAACUGAGACACGGUCCGGACUCCUACGGGAGGCAGCAGUGGGGAAUAUUGGACAAUGGGGGCAACCCUGAUCCAGCCAUGCCGCGUGUGCGAAGAAGGCCUUUUGGUUGUAAAGCACUUUAAGCAGGGAGGAGAGGCUAAUGGUUAAUACCCAUUAGAUUAGACGUUACCUGCAGAAUAAGCACCGGCUAACUCUGUGCCAGCAGCCGCGGUAAUACAGAGGGUGCGAGCGUUAAUCGGAAUUACUGGGCGUAAAGCGAGUGUAGGUGGCUCAUUAAGUCACAUGUGAAAUCCCCGGGCUUAACCUGGGAACUGCAUGUGAUACUGGUGGUGCUAGAAUAUGUGAGAGGGAAGUAGAAUUCCAGGUGUAGCGGUGAAAUGCGUAGAGAUCUGGAGGAAUACCGAUGGCGAAGGCAGCUUCCUGGCAUAAUAUUGACACUGAGAUUCGAAAGCGUGGGUAGCAAACAGGAUUAGAUACCCGGGUAGUCCACGCCGUAAACGAUGUCUACUAGCCGUUGGGGUCCUUGAGACUUUAGUGGCGCAGUUAACGCGAUAAGUAGACCGCCUGGGGAGUACGGCCGCAAGGUUAAAACUCAAAUGAAUUGACGGGGGCCCGCACAAGCGGUGGAGCAUGUGGUUUAAUUCGAUGCAACGCGAAGAACCUUACCUGGUCUUGACAUAGUGAGAAUCCUGCAGAGAUGCGGGAGUGCCUUCGGGAAUUCACAUACAGGUGCUGCAUGGCUGUCGUCAGCCCGUGUCGUGAGAUGUUGGGUUAAGUCCCGCAACGAGCGCAACCCUUUUCCUUAUUUGCCAGCGGGUUAAGCCGGGAACUUUAAGGAUACUGCCAGUGACAAACUGGAGGAAGGCGGGGACGACGUCAAGUCAUCAUGGCCCUUACGACCAGGGCUACACACGUGCUACAAUGGUAGGUACAGAGGGUUGCUACACAGCGAUGUGAUGCUAAUCUCAAAAAGCCUAUCGUAGUCCGGAUUGGAGUCUGCAACUCGACUCCAUGAAGUCGGAAUCGCUAGUAAUCGCAGAUCAGAAUGCUGCGGUGAAUACGUUCCCGGGCCU
RNAcentral lists this ribosomal RNA (1355 nucleotides) under uncultured bacterium. Its description in RNAcentral is "bacterial SSU rRNA". It matches the Rfam family "Bacterial small subunit ribosomal RNA", at positions 28 to 1381 of the family's 1533-position model. The record is from RNAcentral.